This 200-nucleotide long non-coding RNA is filed under the name Homo sapiens (human). RNAcentral's name for it is "HSALNT0176252". The record is from RNAcentral. Lineage: Eukaryota; Metazoa; Chordata; Mammalia; Primates; Hominidae.
UUCAUCCUGUCCGGGGUAAGGGGUGGUCCCAGUGUAUCGGUGGGGCAUAAAAAGGGGAGUAAAGCCUGGAGGAAGAAAUGAAAGGUGGGAGAGCAAUCUGGGGCGACAAGGGCCCUGUGGUUUCCUGGUGUUCGUAAGUGAAUGUGCUCCAGUUAGAGCAACAGGAUGUUGGGGGAAUGAAGGGAAAGAGUUGGUAUCAA